CGCCUCCCUCCUCAGCACCGCGCAUGCCCGUACGGGCGGCGCCAGGACACCGCGCCUGCGCGCCGCCGUGCGGCGGCCGCCAUGCCGGAGGGGAAGGCAGCGUUCCGGGAGGUGCUGCCCAAGCAAGGGCAGCUGUCGGUGGAGGACGCGGCCGCCAUGGUGCUGUGCAAGCCCAAGGUGCUGCCCCUCAAGUCGGUGUCGCUGGAGAAGCUGGAGAAGCUGCAGCGGGCGGCGCUGGAGGCGGCGCGGCCGCCCGAGGGGGCACCGCCGACCCGGCCCUAGCCCUCGCCCCGGGGAGGGGCGGCGGGCACCGCGCCCUGCGGCGGCCGCACCCGCCACUCGGAGCUGACAGUUUUCCACGGUCACCUACAUGGAUCAUUGUGAUGCCUGAAUGUUCCACCUCAGUACUGUCCUGAUCUCUACCAGCAAAACAGAGGAGAGGCAGGUCUUCAUUCUCUGGAGAGCACACAGACGUGCUGCCUGGGACUCACCACAGGCUUACUUUCCUCAAGUAUUUAUCCCAGCCUCCACAUAACAGGUUUCACACCAGUGGAGCUUCUUAAUAAACUUCUUACCAGUCCAACCCUCUGUUUCUCCAUCCUCUAUAGUUUCCAGUUCCAAUCUGUAAUACUUUGGUUAUAAAAUCCUGCUUUCUGUUACCUACAAUGGGAACAAAAGGCAGUGCCUUCACCUAUCUACAAUAAAACAAGUACCUUGAAGGGCAGAGGUCUCUCAGUGGUUUGGAGAUUAUUCCAGCCUGAAAGCAUUCCUCUACAAACCGCUCAAGCACAGAAUAGGAGUGUGGCACAUCCAGGUUAAUAUCUGGGAUUUCACAGUAAACUCGUUCAUAGCCCUACAAUGUAAGAAUUCAAAUAAUGAUCUGGUUAUUCUAUGAUUUUAUAACAAAUUUUUUAAGUACCCUUUUGCACUCAGAGGAUUUAUUUUUCAAUAUAGUUUCAUCUAUACUAUGGACAGUUUCAACAACCUAAAGCAGAGCAGCUGCAAGUCAGUAGAAAAGGAAGGUAUACUACCAGCCACUACCAUGGUAUUACACAACUACCUAUCUACAUAAAAACACCAGGUGAAUUUUUAACUUCUUGAGAAGUCAGAAAUCCAGACAGUACAGAAUGUGUGUGGUAGCCUGGCUGCUAUUGCAUGGGUAGUAACACAAGGAAGAAAAGGUAAUUUUUCUUCCAUGUAAAUGAACAAAAUGUGGCCACAAAUCACCACAACAGUUUAUGCAGUAAGGGAAACACUAGUGACAACCAUAGAUGACUUCAUCACUUCCUGCCAGCAGUAUGGCUGGGUAAAUUUUGACACCAGUCUUUGUGUGGUACCUAGUUUGCCCUGGGACAGAACAGCUGUCUUAUAUUCAUACCUAGAAGCAAAGCCAUGGAUGAUCCCAACUGUGCAAAAUAUUAGCUGUUCUAAUUGAUGUGUAAUUAAGUCAGUCCUUAUUGUACUGCUUUAAUUAUGAAGAACUACUGGAUAAAAAGAAAAAAUUAUUUAAGAAAAAUGAAGCUAUAUUGCAGCAUUUUAAAUGAUUAGGUUUAACCACUUAAUUGCAUAAAAGCAGGUGGAAAUCUUUGACUGAAGAUUCAAAUAUUCUGUACCUCACAGUUCUACAGAGAGCUACUGCUCGGAAUUCAUUUGUACUUCUGCCAGUACAUGACAAGCAUUGUACAUACAUCAGUGACAAAUUAUUUGUACUGGAUACAGAAUAACCAUGGAGAACUUAAAAGCAGCAGUCAGCAAUAGAAUACAAACAGUACUUAAAAGAUGGUAAAAACUAGGCAAAUUUUGGAAGACCUUACCCAAAAUUCUCUAAAUGCCACACUUACUCUUUUCAUUUGGUCCAUAGUAAUGACAGAAGACCUCCAGAGAGACUUGAACAAAUCCAGUAUCAUUCUGAAGGUCUUUUCUCCAGUUGACUCCAAAACCAUCACAAUGGCCUAAAACAAAUCAUGCAGCUGUUUUAACUACAAAGAAAACAGUGGUUCAAGUACAUGUCAUAGAUUGCUCCUUCAAACUUCUCACCCUGACAUGGAAAACAAUUAUACUUCUUGAUGAAUAAAGCAUUACAGAGAAAGUCUGGGAAAGCACUGCACAAGCUUCAAACCUUUACAAGGCAAAACAGUUAAUCCCUUGUGUAUUUCACAACAUAUUCACAGCAGCUGUCCCGAUGCUAUAUUUACUCAUUAAUCACAUUAAAGCUUUUUCUAAAGACAAAACCUUCCAUAAUCACUUCUUGUUUCAGCUCAUUUUUUUUCACCCUCAACCAUAAGCUGGACAACAAACCUGACAAACUGAAGUCAAAUGUAUUAAUACAUUUUUCAGGCACUUUCAGUAUUUCUCCUCUGACCUGAGUCAUUCUGGAUUUUGUUGUUGCAAACUUUGUGGUUUUCUUUUUUAUCAUUUUAAAUUAAAAAAUAAGAAGUUAUAGAGAACCACAUGAUUUAUCCUGAAGUCCUAAAAUCCAAAUCAUCAUUUUUGGCAUUUGGAAUAGAAAACUGUAGCUAUAUAGAGAAAACAAGAAAGUUACCGAGCUUGGACGCAAUCCACAGUGCCUUUGUAGCCAUCUAUGUAGGUACUGCUUAAAAUCCCAUCUCCAACAGCUCUAGCAAUAAACUGGCCCACCAACUGCAUACAAAACAGAAGCAUUUUUAAUUAAAUGUUGAAUUUCAAAGUAGCUCUAAGUAGACAACUAUAAUGUGCUUGGUUUUCAAAUUUUAUUUAAAUGAGCCAUCUCAAAGUAAAAACACAGCCUAGGAAAUUGGUAGGAGAUUACAGACAGCAAGACAAUCCAAUUUUUCAAAAUAGAGUCUACUUUAGUUUACUUGAUUGAUUUUAGCCACAACUUAAAAGAAAAAGCUUUUGACUACUAGCAUAAAACUUUACAAAUAUACCUGUGGCGCCCUGGGAGAAUCCAACACCAAUUCAGGUAGUUCUUUAAGCAGUCUAUCAAAGGAUUUUUCCACAUCAGUUUUGCUUACUACUGUCCCACAAAGGUCAGAAAUAAGCUUAGAUGUCAUUUCCCGAUGACUAGCCUUCCCCUCUAAUGCCAAGGAAACAGCCAGCACUGGCACACUGUAUUUCAUUUCACCAAGGUUUAAAUCCUUCAGCAUCUCCUAAGUAAGAUUUGAAAAAACAAAACAGAUUAAGAUUUCAUAAUUUUUAUUAUAUCAAUAUAUAUUAUAUAAAUGUUACAAAUACAUAAAUAUUUAUAUGCUUGUGUUUAGAUUUACAUAUACACUUCUGCUCAUGUAAUGAAUAUAACUGCUUAGGUAUUCUUAUUGCACAUUUCUUGCCAACAUCUCUAUACACUUAUUUAUAGCCAGCAGUUGGAUCCCCUUGUACACUACAGGUUUGCCCCCUAAAAUAAAGAAGUAAAAAGGCAUGCAACAUACCGAAACUUCAUUAGUAUCUCCAUGUUCAAAAUACUCCUGUAUGAUUGGUGUUAAAGUUUUUUCAAAUGCUCUUUCAUCCAGAGGUAAAACUACUGUUUCAUAGACACAGUUCUCCUAUUUUAAAAGACAACAAAAGCAUAUACCCUUUUGUAAGCAGUACUGUCUCUUCUUACAUCUUUUGCAGUGCUAAUAGCAUCAAAAUAUAUCUUCUAAAUCCUUAAUGCUUUAGUCUUGGUAGUCAGUAUUCUGCCAGAAAACAUAAGAUUAUGUCUUAAAGUGCGGACAAUACUGGCUAAAUGUCAUGCUGCUUAUAUUGCUUUUAUUUUUAAUUUACUGUUAGCCGAGUUCAACUGAAAGGCUGAAUUUACUGUUACUAUAAACACUCCAAACUCUGUUCCUAGGAUUCUGCUGAUACCACAUGAACACAGAGUUCAGGUACCAAUGUAGUAUGUACUGAAGGGAGAGCAACAGAAGCUCCUGUCCCAGCCCAAGAGUUAGCUGUGCCACAGGACAAGAUGUAACUUUCAGCACCUUUCCCUGCAAAUGGCACUCCAGUCCCUGACAGCAAGCCUGCCUGCUUUCCCUCUUCCUUAGUGACUGCGGGACCAGACAGGCAAUAGCAUGUACAAAUCAGAGAAACAGCAUUUUCAGAAUAUUUGUGAGCGAAGACAUUCCCUAAGGGGGAAAAAAAAGAAUCACACAGCAACUGCCUCCUGUAUAACCUGGUCCUGCAGAGUUCCAGCACAACCAGAUCUCCCCACUGUAAUUCAGUUCCCUACUCCUCACAGACUACAGAAGUAACAUUCAGAGCAAUGCUACAGAUCACAGAAAUCUGAACAAAGAAGUUUUCCAACUAAUGCUUAUUGGAAGGAAGCUUUCCAUGAUCAAGAAGUAUAGCAGAAGUCCAAAAGCCUAUUAUUCCAUCACAUCAGUCUCCAUUUACAACCUUAGAAAAGCUAAGCAUACGGAAGUUCCACAGAAUAUUCAUUCUUCAAUAAACUUUCUUUUAUGCACUGAUCAGCUUCCUUUUUAAUAGCUAAUCUGUUAAUGUAAAGCAUUGCAUUGCAGGGAAAAAACUGAUACUGGAAGAAGGUUUUGAUAUUCCGACAUACCAUCCUCUCAGCAGCUAUGGCUACAGCAAACAGCCUCUGCUCAAAGGACACCACCAUCGCUCUGCUUAUGUUACACAGAAUUUACUUACGGUCUCACAAUUGUAUUGAUCUUAGAGACUUUAGUAAUAUGAGUUUGUAAUCGGUGUUUCCUUUCCUCAGUGACUUAAUGUUAUAAAGCACCCUUUCCCAGGAAGCUUUUUUUCCCCCCCCCCGAUAAUAUGGCUGUAAGAUAUCUUCCACAACAUAUUCUAAAUAAAUACAUGUAAACAAAAUA
Molecule: RNA transcript, 4793 nt
Organism: Aquila chrysaetos chrysaetos
Lineage: Eukaryota; Metazoa; Chordata; Aves; Accipitriformes; Accipitridae
Gene: BBIP1
Gene name: BBSome interacting protein 1
Exons: 4
Source: RefSeq, a predicted model, not a curated record